GACGAACGCUGGCGGCGUGCUUAACACAUGCAAGUCGAACGGAAAGGCCCUGCUUUUGUGGGGUGCUCGAGUGGCGAACGGGUGAGUAACACGUGAGUAACCUGCCCUUGACUUUGGGAUAACUUCAGGAAACUGGGGCUAAUACCGGAUAGGAGCUCCUGCUGCAUGGUGGGGGUUGGAAAGUUUCGGCGGUUGGGGAUGGACUCGCGGCUUAUCAGCUUGUUGGUGGGGUAGUGGCUUACCAAGGCUUUGACGGGUAGCCGGCCUGAGAGGGUGACCGGCCACAUUGGGACUGGGAUGAGGCCCAGACUCCAACGGGAGGCAGCAGUGGGGAAUAUUGCACAAUGGGAGGAAGCAUGACGCAGCAACGCCGCGUGCGGGAUGAGGGCCUUCGGGUUGUAAACCGCUUUCGCCUGUGACGAAGCGUGAGUGACGGUAAUGGGUAAAGAAGCACCGGCUAACUACGUG
This 468-nucleotide ribosomal RNA is filed under the name uncultured bacterium. RNAcentral's name for it is "partial 16S ribosomal RNA". It matches the Rfam family "Bacterial small subunit ribosomal RNA", at positions 28 to 507 of the family's 1533-position model. The record is from RNAcentral.